AGAGUUUGAUCAUGGCUCAGGACGAACGCUGGCGGCGUGCCUAACACAUGCAAGUCGAGCGAUGAAGCCCCUUCGGGGUGGAUUAGCGGCGGACGGGUGAGUAACACGUGGGUAACCUGCCUCAGAGAGGGGGAUAGCCUCCCGAAAGGGAGAUUAAUACCGCAUAACAUUAGUUUUUCGCAUGAAGGACUAAUUUAAAG
Molecule: ribosomal RNA, 200 nt
Filed under: uncultured bacterium
Lineage: Bacteria
Description: partial 16S ribosomal RNA
Rfam family: Bacterial small subunit ribosomal RNA
Source: RNAcentral